UACGUAGGGUGCAAGCGUUAAUCGGAAUUACUGGGCGUAAAGCGUGCGCAGGCGGUUGUGCAAGACAGAUGUGAAAUCCCCGGGCUCAACCUGGGAAUUGCAUUUGUGACUGCACGGCUAGAGUGUGUCAGAGGGGGGUAGAAUUCCACGUGUAGCAGUGAAAUGCGUAGAGAUGUGGAGGAAUACCGAUGGCGAAGGCAGCCCCCUGGGUUAACACUGACGCUCAGGCACGAAAGCGUGGGGAGCAAACAGG
Molecule: ribosomal RNA, 253 nt
Filed under: uncultured bacterium
Lineage: Bacteria
Description: partial 16S ribosomal RNA
Rfam family: Bacterial small subunit ribosomal RNA
Source: RNAcentral